Molecule: ribosomal RNA, 253 nt
Filed under: uncultured bacterium
Lineage: Bacteria
Description: partial 16S ribosomal RNA
Rfam family: Bacterial small subunit ribosomal RNA
Source: RNAcentral
UACGAGGGGGGCAAGCGUUGUUCGGAAUUAUUGGGCGUAAAGGGCGCGUAGGCGGUGCGGUAAGUCACCUGUGAAAACUCUGGGCUCAACUCAGAGCCUGCAGGCGAAACUGCCGUGCUUGAGUGUGGGAGAGGUGCGUGGAAUUCCCGGUGUAGCGGUGAAAUGCGUAGAUAUCGGGAGGAGCACCUGUGGCGAAAGCGGCGCACUGGACCACAACUGACGCUGAGGCGCGAAAGCUAGGGGAGCAAACAGG